This is a long non-coding RNA of Olea europaea var. sylvestris, 2672 nucleotides long. RefSeq lists it as uncharacterized. The record is from RefSeq and is a predicted model, not a curated record. The transcript has 3 exons. Lineage: Eukaryota; Viridiplantae; Streptophyta; Magnoliopsida; Lamiales; Oleaceae.
UAUACAACAAAAUGAACAUAAUAGGACCAUAAGAGAAUAAGAAUUGAAACCCUACCCUAGGACCUGAAGCUCCUGAACGGCCGAACGCGAAACGCCCUCAUGCACAGAUUCAGUGAUCUCAUUGAAUAGGGCCGGAAACAGUUUUAUUGUUUGGGAUUUUUACAAAUUUUCCACUAUCCUGCUGCCUAGAUACUUCAAGCACAGCAAUUUUUCCAGUUUCAUUCUGUCUGGUAAAUCUGAUACUUUUUCUUAUUUUAAUAUGGAACCAAAUCGACCUCUUGCCAAGAAAGGAAGAACCAAAUCGACCUCUUGCCAAGCUUGCAGAGAAAUUUUAUCCUCAAGAUUUUACACAACAAAAUAUUUAUAGUUUGAAAGUUGAGUUGCAACAUUAUCAGCAUAAUGUGAUUUCUGAGCCUCGAUUUCAAGUAUCUACACUUUCUGUUUUAUGUCAAGAAUUUGUUGCAAGUAGAAGAUCGGAGAGUUACGUCAAUUUGACUAAAUUGAUUCGUCUAGUAUUGACACUGCCUGUUUCAACAGCUACCGUAGAGCGAGCAUUUUUUGCAAUGAAACAUGUGAAAACGAAAAUUCAUAACAAAAUGGAUGAUGGUUUUCUUGCUAAUUGUAUGACACUUUACAUUGAACGAGAAUUUUCUUUGAAUUUAGAUUUAGAUUCUAUUAUUGAUGAAUUGUAUGCUAUAAAGUAUCGUCGGGUGCAACUGUAACUGAUAAUAUUAAAUUAUGACUUUUUUUGUUAUUUAUAAAUUUUAUUCGUACAUUAAAUUUCUAAAGUUUUGUCCCCCGUGACAUUAAUUCCUGGCGACGUCCCGGCUGACCAGCCUGAACAUGUGCCUAACGUUAAACCUAAAAAUAAGGGAUUUGUAGGACAGAGAUCUACUAAACAGCGUAGGGCUUGUCGACUUAGGAAUAGACGUCAGCGAUCACACAACAUUAGUCCUAGGUUUAUCCCUACAUGCUUUCCCCGUGGUAAGUUAGGACACAUACGCCAUAGGUGUCAUCAAUUCCUGAAUAGAUAGAGAAAGCUUAAAGAGGAAUAAAAAUUAGGAUUUUGUUGGUCAGAUUGGAUUCCUUACUGAUUAAUAAGUCGUUCGACCAAGUUGGUGACACAGCUGUAUGGGAAUUGUUCUCCCACUAUGCAAAUUUGGAUGAAAAAGAGUGAUGCAAAACUGUGAAGUAGACCAUGAUAUUCUUAAACGUAAGAGCAUUAUUUUACCGAAUUGAUUAGGUAAUUUUGGUGCAUGCUGAUGCUUAUCACUGUGUGUCAUUGAUCUAUUCAUGCAUCUCAUUUAUUUUUUUGCUUUCUAGGUUGUUGUUUUAAACAUGUGCAUCUUUGUUGUGUUUGCAUUGGCACAUGCACUUUUCGUUGUUGUUUUGUAUAUGAUUUUUUUAUAGUUUUAUGUUCUUGGAGCAUUCAUGUUUUUCAAUAUAAAAAAAAUAAAAAAUAAAAAAAAUUGGGGAAUGGAUUAUUUUCUACAGCAUGAUAUAUAACAUUCUUCAACUUGUGUGUUGUGACCAUAUAUAGGCUUUGAUUGAUGAGCUGUAGCACAUUUUCCAUUACUUGCUUAGGUUGUUAUGGAGGACUUAAUUUACAAGUCUUCAUUUACCAUCGGCACUGCACACACUAUGAUAUGUAAGUGGGACUUAACUGCGUGUCUGAGAUUUGGGAUGGUCGUUAAUUGUUAGUAAGGUGACUCUAAACAUGAAUUGACCAAAUUUGUUAGACCUAAACUCAAGUAUACCCCUCAUAAUAAAAAGCUCAAUAUCUUAUGUUCUUCUUAGGAGCCUAUUUGACUUGAUCAAUUAAGCCGCGUGGUAUCUCAAAACCCGGUGCCUAUGGUAUAUUGAUUUAGGUUAACUGGCCUAAAGCUUGCUAUAGGGAUCAUCUUAGUCACUUAAUGGAAAAUGAACUGCACUUAGAUAUAAAAAUUGGUGAGCUUUAAAAAUAUUGAAAAAUAUACUCAAAGUUAAGGGAAGAAAAGAAAAGAUCAAAAUAUAUGCAAAAUGAGCUUCAUUUAAAGGUCUUAAUGUUCUUAAUGAUUUGACUUUCAUAAGUAGGAGAAUAAAUUUAUUAGCAGUGAUAUUUUACAUGUCCUUUUUCACAAAAUUAAGGUUUGGAGUCCUGCCUACAAAGGAUUAGUGAUACUUUACACUCAUGAGUCACUUAUAUAGUUUACUCCAUUUUAACUUAAAAUGAGUAUGUGGGAAAGCUUACUAAUCAUUGAUUAUACUUGUGCAUACUUUCAACUUCAUUUUUAAAUUGUUAUAUAUUGUUGCUAAAAUUGAGUUUGAAAUUACAUCCUUCGUCAUUUAUGACAAAAAGGGGGGAGAGAGUAUAUACAAAGGACGAAGAGGAUAUACAUAGGAGAAGAAGCUUGAAAUUGAAUUUUGGGUCUAGGGUUCAUUGGGAGAGAAAGAUAGAUACAUUUUGAUACUGUAUAAAAAUGUUGAAAUUUGCAGUAAGAGGAAGAAUUUGCAUUCCAUAUCAUAAUGAAUAGCUGUUUGAUUUUUGAUAUUUUGUGAUGUUAAUAUUUUGGUUGGUGUUUUGAUUGACAUUGAUGUCACGUCUCAAACUAGCAUGCUUAUUUAUGAUUAUGAACUUUAGCUGUUAUAUUCUCUAUAACACGUGCAUUUACACUUGGUAUUUGAGUUUUUGA